RNAcentral lists this ribosomal RNA (531 nucleotides) under uncultured bacterium. RNAcentral's name for it is "bacterial SSU rRNA". It matches the Rfam family "Bacterial small subunit ribosomal RNA", at positions 8 to 526 of the family's 1533-position model. The record is from RNAcentral.
AGAGUUUGAUCAUGGCUCAGAUUGAACGCUGGCGGCAUGCUUUACACAUGCAAGUCGAACGGUAACAGGCCUUCGGGUGCUGACGAGUGGCGAACGGGUGAGUAAUGCAUCGGAACGUGCCCAGAGGUGGGGGAUAACGCAGCGAAAGCUGUGCUAAUACCGCAUGUGAUCUGAGGAUGAAAGCGGGGGACCAAGCAGCAAUGUUUGGCCUCGCGCCUCUGGAGCGGCCGAUGUCAGAUUAGGUAGUUGGUGGGGUAAAGGCCUACCAAGCCGACGAUCUGUAGCUGGUCUGAGAGGACGACCAGCCACACUGGGACUGAGACACGGCCCAGACUCCUACGGGAGGCAGCAGUGGGGAAUUUUGGACAAUGGGCGCAAGCCUGAUCCAGCAAUGCCGCGUGCGGGAAGAAGGCCUUCGGGUUGUAAACCGCUUUUGUACGGAACGAAAAGGCUCUGGCUAAUACCUGGGGCUGAUGACGGUACCGUAAGAAUAAGCACCGGCUAACUACGUGCCAGCAGCCGCGGUAAUAC